AGCUCCAAUAGCGUAUAUUAAAGUUGUUGCAGUUAAAAAGCUCGUAGUUGGAUUUCGGGAUGGGCCAGUCGGUCCGCCUAACGGUGUGUUUACUGGCUGGUCUGUUCUUCUUCGCAAAGACUGCGUGUGCACUUUACUGUGUGUGCGUAGGAUUUACGACGUUUACUUUGAAAAAAUUAGAGUGUUCAAAGCAGGCAUACCGCUUGAAUACAUGAGCAUGGAAUAAUGGAAUAGGACUUUGGUCUUAUUUUGUUGGUUUCUGAGACCGAAGUAAUGAUUAAGAGGGACAGUUGGGGGCAUUCGUAUUUCGUUGUCAGAGGUGAAAUUCUUGGAUUUACGAAAGACGAACAAUUGCGAAAGCAUUUGCCAAGAAUGUUUUCA
RNAcentral lists this ribosomal RNA (381 nucleotides) under uncultured eukaryote. Its description in RNAcentral is "SSU rRNA". It matches the Rfam family "Eukaryotic small subunit ribosomal RNA", at positions 587 to 972 of the family's 1831-position model. The record is from RNAcentral. RNAcentral also lists the same sequence under 1 other name.